CCGAGACAUAACCCUUCUUUCCUUUUAUUGCCCUUCUCACUUGCGAACGCUUUCUUCCUUCAACCUCACACCCCAUUCCUUCUGGCCUUCCACAUCGAUCCUCUUUCAACAAUUGUUUAUUCUGGUUUGACCUAAUUUACAGUUCUGACGAUCACUCCCGUAAAACUCUGCUCCAGAGAUGAUAUCUUGGAUUGAGAAAUUACCAGUUCGUAAAACAGAAAGAAGGAUUGAGAAAAGAUCAGGGUCUCUGUGGGGAUUUGAUCGUAAGAAGUGAAGAGAUUGGAGAAGAGAGGGCCUGAUUGUGAAAAAGGAGGCAUAUUUCUGAAUAAUUGAGAAAAAAAAUAUGUGAUUCUUCUUGAAGAAUUGAAAUGGGGUUUGGUGAUGAUGCUGAUGAAAUAGGAUUGUUGGGGACGGGUUUGAUUUUGUAAAGGUGUUUUGGGGGAUGAAGGAGCUCUAGAAGGGAUUCAUUCUGCUGUAACCCUUCUGCUUGUAAUCAGAUUGGGAGAAAGACAAAAAAGAUAGAAACAUCAUUAGAGGAGAUGGGGAUUAUUGCAUCUUCUUAACUGAGAAAGCAAAAAAAAGACUAAACUACCAUUAUUAUUUUCAGAUUACUCCAACAUCGUCAUCAUAGAGAACUCCUUGUUAUGGAUAAAUUCAGUUGUCGUGUUAUCUUUUUGGUUUUUAAAUCCACCCAACAAAAGGUGUUAAUGCAGCAGUUUUGGUUUUAAAAAAAUAAAGUUUAAUUAAAUUUAAAAGUAGACUAGACAUGGUUGAUAUGUUUUUGGAGGAAAGUAUAACAAAAGAAGUAUUAAAAUAAUAGAGCAUUACAUUCGUAAAAACUAUAAAGGCAUGGUGAUAGUGGUAUAGCUAAGAAAUAGGUACAUAUAAAAUGGUUUGUUUGAUUAUUAAAUACAAAACAUCACGGUAAUUUUAAG
Long non-coding RNA from Lactuca sativa (garden lettuce), 935 nucleotides. RefSeq lists it as uncharacterized. The record is from RefSeq and is a predicted model, not a curated record. Lineage: Eukaryota; Viridiplantae; Streptophyta; Magnoliopsida; Asterales; Asteraceae.